RNAcentral lists this ribosomal RNA (305 nucleotides) under uncultured bacterium. RNAcentral describes it as "partial 16S ribosomal RNA". It matches the Rfam family "Bacterial small subunit ribosomal RNA", at positions 508 to 809 of the family's 1533-position model. The record is from RNAcentral.
ACAGCAGCCGCCGCGGUAAUACGGAGGAUCCGAGCGUUAUCCGGAUUUAUUGGGUUUAAAGGGUGCGUAGGCGGCCUGUUAAGUCAGGGGUGAAAGACGGUAGCUCAACUAUCGCAGUGCCCUUGAUACUGAUGGGCUUGAAUGUACUAGAGGUAGGCGGAAUGUGACAAGUAGCGGUGAAAUGCAUAGAUAUGUCACAGAACACCAAUUGCGAAGGCAGCUUACUAUGGUAUGAUUGACGCUGAGGCACGAAAGCGUGGGGAUCAAACAGGAUUAGAUACCCCAGUAGUCCCUGUCUCUUAUAA